Molecule: ribosomal RNA, 897 nt
Filed under: Triticum aestivum (bread wheat)
Lineage: Eukaryota; Viridiplantae; Streptophyta; Magnoliopsida; Poales; Poaceae
Description: partial small subunit ribosomal RNA
Source: RNAcentral
AUGUACAGGUUUCCACAGGGUUUCCGUAACCUGGGGCCAAAUUUGCACCUUCCCUCGAGAAUGCCUAAAGCAGAAGAGCAUGCUUUUACGGUCGGCAAUAAAAAUGUUGGCUUGACUUUCAGCCCUUCGACUCGUGAACAUGUUAUUGUGGAAAUCUUCUAUCACCGGAAGGACUUCAAAUCUCGUCAGUAUGACAUGACAUGCGCGUUAUACUGGUGUAACUCUUGGAGUGCUGCCCAACAGAUCUCGGUACCUCCUCUGCCUGUGAAUGAUAUGCCACCGGCCUAUGUUGAAGGAAUGUUGUACUGGAUGAGUGAACCAAGGUUGGGACAGUGCUGUGAAUGGGCCAUUGUCUCUUUCAAUCUUGCUAAAAGAACGUUUGAUGUUGUCCCGUGUCCUUCGUGGUUUGCAAGAUGGAAUGGCAGAAACCCCUGUCGUGCAUUUGUUGUUGAGCUCGAGGGAGUAUUAUGCGCUGUCCUAGCAGAUCCAUUGGCAGACAAAUUAGAUGUAUGGAAGCUAGAGCAUGGCCAAUGGGGCAGAGCAUACACAAUUAACCUGGAAGCAUGUCCUGGCUAUUCCCUCAAGACAAGUGUUGUGAUGCCAUUAGCUGUUGAUCCUGGAAGGAUCCUGCUCAACACUGGGAGGAAAAUAGGUCUAUAUGAUCCAGUAGAGCAAACAAUUCUAAAUCUGCAUUCACUUGAUCAGUUGCAGGUUGCCAGUAGUCCACUUCUUGAUAUGCCUUCAACUUCUUCAGGGAAUAGUUUGACAUGCUCCAAAGAAGAGUCAGCCGCGGAGAUGAAGAGAAUGGACUCUGAAAUUAUUCCUUUUGUUCCUAUGUUAUACGAGGAGAGCUUGGCAGGUUACUCCUCUGUGCGCAAAGCAAAAAUGCUGUGGUGA